This 80-nucleotide transfer RNA is filed under the name Cameraria ohridella. RNAcentral describes it as "tRNA-Val". Lineage: Eukaryota; Metazoa; Arthropoda; Insecta; Lepidoptera; Gracillariidae. The record is from RNAcentral.
CAAAUUAUAUCUUAUUAAAGUAUUUCAUUUACAUUGAAAAGAAAUUAUAUUAUUAAUUAAUUUGAAAUAAAAAAAUUAAA